This 414-nucleotide ribosomal RNA is filed under the name uncultured prokaryote. RNAcentral's name for it is "bacterial SSU rRNA". It matches the Rfam family "Bacterial small subunit ribosomal RNA", at positions 505 to 918 of the family's 1533-position model. The record is from RNAcentral.
GUGUCUGCCGCCGCGGUAAAACGUAGGAGGCAAGCGUUAUCCGGAGUUACUGGGCGUAAAGCGCGUGCAGGUGGGUUGUUAAGUCACUUAUGAAAGCUCCCGGCUAAACUGGGAGAGGCUGAGUGAAACUGGCAGCCUAGAGUAGAGGAGAGGUAGACGGAAUUCCGCGUGUAGUGGUGAAAUGCGUAGAGAUGCGGAAGAACACCAGUGGCGAAGGCGGUCUACUGGCCUCUAACUGACACUCAGACGCGAUAGCAUGGGUAGCGAACGGGAUUAGAAACCCCGGUAGUCCAUGACGUAAACGAUGCACACUAGACGUUCGCAGUCAUUGGCUGUGAGUGUCGAAGCAAACGCGAUAAGUGUGCCGCCUGGGGAGUACGGUCGCAAGGCUAAAACUCAAAUGAAUUGGCGGGG